AGGACGAACGCUGGCGGCGUGCUUAACACAUGCAAGUCGAGCGGAAAGGCCCUUCGGGGUACUCGAGCGGCGAACGGGUGAGUAACACGUGAGUAACCUGCCCCUAGCUCUGGGAUAGCUCCGGGAAACCGGGAUUAAUACCAGAUACGACCACUUUAGACAUCUGUCGUGGUGGAAAGGAUUCCGGCUAGGGAUGGGCUCGCGGCCUAUCAGCUUGUUGGUGGGGUAACGGCCUACCAAGGCGACGACGGGUAGCCGGCCUGAGAGGGCGACCGGCCACACUGGGACUGAGACACGGCCCAGACUCCUACGGGAGGCAGCAGUGGGAAUAUUGCGCAAUGGGCGAAAGCCUGACGCAGCGACGCCGCGUGGGGGAUGAAGGCCUUCGGGUUGUAAACCCCUUUCAGCAGGGACGAAGCGAAAGUGACGGUACUGCAGAAGAAGCGCCGGCUAACUACGUGCCAGCAGCCGC
RNAcentral lists this ribosomal RNA (472 nucleotides) under uncultured bacterium. RNAcentral describes it as "SSU rRNA". It matches the Rfam family "Bacterial small subunit ribosomal RNA", at positions 26 to 518 of the family's 1533-position model. The record is from RNAcentral.